Molecule: long non-coding RNA, 981 nt
Organism: Pogoniulus pusillus (Red-fronted tinkerbird)
Lineage: Eukaryota; Metazoa; Chordata; Aves; Piciformes; Lybiidae
Exons: 5
Source: RefSeq, a predicted model, not a curated record
GUCCCCGGGGCGCGCUGCUCCCCCCGCGCCGGCCUGCCCGCACCGGGCCCGCCGCACCGCCGCUCUUCGUGACUGGGCGGCGUAGCCUGUCCCCUGGCCAGCAGCCGCCACAGGGCGAGAGACCUACGCCGGUUCGCGGCAGGAGUUCCCGGGAGAGCCUGCUCCUUUAAUGGAAAGUAGCUCCUGAGGAGUCCGGACAGCUUCCAGCGCCUUCGAGGCGAAUCUUCAGGCAGAAGCAACUCGUGUGACAUGUUCACGAUGAAACGUUCUGCAGCUUCAGCGUCAGCAGAGAUCACCACCAGCAGCACUGUGUAGAGCAGCAAAGGGUCUCAGCUCCAAAAUUCCAAAGACACAAUUCCAGAGGCCUCUGUGGCACAUCCUAGUGGAAAGGUGGCACGAAGACCAGUGCUCGCAGCAAGAUUCACCGCGGGGCAAGGGAUGCAAGGGUCAUGGAGGGAGAGGCCCCAGUGCUGCCUGGCUUCAUAGAGGGAUGAAGAGGAGUCAGCUGUGGAAGUCUCACGUUCAUGGUGUGCCAGUGAUGGGCGUGUUGAGGAGGUCAGUGGGCAAAGCCACACAGACUGCUGUGAUCAGAACAAUGCCACACAGACCCCACACGAUUCAAGAUGCCAAAGCUUUCUGCAGUGCAGUGGACAAAGUGAUUCACUGUGGCUCUUUGGGGCACUUUUAUCCAUCACUGUUGCUGAGAGUCUCCGUGGAGUUCAGCGCUGUGACCACACUCUGCCAGACACCUCCUUCUCACCUGAGAUAGUCUCUGCUGUAUCCUUGAGCUCUUUGGAAGAAUCAUUUUGUGGGUGGAAAUGAGGCUCCUGAGAAUCCUCUGCACUGCUUUGGCUCCAUACCUGGAACAAAAGGUAUGACUCAACCAAGCAGAGUUUGGACAUUUUCCCUCUGGUUCAGAACUGAGUUGGAGUUCGGUUUCUGCAAAGAGAAGAUUAAAGACACUUUGUGUUCCUGCCUUCA